Long non-coding RNA from Carya illinoinensis, 1943 nucleotides. RefSeq lists it as uncharacterized. NCBI's taxonomy places the organism in Eukaryota, Viridiplantae, Streptophyta, Magnoliopsida, Fagales, Juglandaceae. The transcript is spliced from 2 exons. The record is from RefSeq and is a predicted model, not a curated record.
GUAUUUGAGAAAACCAAAAAAAAUAAAUAAAUAAAUUAGUUCGCUCUGAUUUCAAAUGAAUUAUGGGAAUCGAAUCAACCCAAAUUUGAAGGAGCUCUAGUGUUUUCAUUUUUAUGAAAGCAAGAUUAAAUAUUUAGUACUUCUUCUAAUGUAAACACGGACACACUGGAUCAAGAGGUCAUAUGAUGUCAGUUGAGUUGAUGUUAGAAGCAUCACGUGACUUUACUAUGUCGAGGGACACGUGUAACGUGAUGAGUUCCGCCACGCAAUGUUGGCAGACCAUGAAAUUCCCAAAAAGGACCAGUCAGUCGAUAAAUUAACCGUCAAUGUCGAACCAGAGAAAAAAAAAAAAAAAAAAAAAAAAAAAAAAAACGUUCUCUUCUGGCGCUUCCUUUGCUUCCAUCGCUGUAGCUUUUGCGAUUCCUAAAUAAGCUUUACUUCUGGGGAUGAGGGGAUCGCCGACAUGUCUUCCUUUCCUUUCUAUUCAUCCUCUUUCCUCAUCACACCGUUCCUUCUCCGUUCCAAGAUCUCCGCCGCUCCUACCAUCCGAACCACAUUCUUAGUUUUAUUUUCGCCGCCAUCCUCAUUUAUAAUCCGAUCCGCGUAAAUUCGCCGCCUUCUUGUUGUUAGGGUUCCGAUUUUCGAAACCGAAGCCCAUUGCGGAGCUGCACUCGCUGUCCGUGAGCUCGAGCAGGAUGGAGUGUUUGAGGAAGAUUUCCGGCGGCUGGUUCAGGAGCAACCAGCGCAAUGGCGUGACUAAGGUUGAGGUCGAGACUGGCGGCGUGGAUAUUUUCAAUGCAGCGCAGAGGGCGGUCCCGGACCACCUCGUCAUCAUGAUUGAUGGCCUCGCAGGGGAAGGUCCCCUGAAGAUUUUGAUACUUCUAUCACACAAUCAGUCGGUGCAACCUCAAUCACCUGUAAUUUUCCAGGGUGGUUAGAGACCUUGAUGUCUUAUAUUGCGUGGACAGUAAAUGACAAGUGCUUACCUCUGCUGAUAUGUCGAGAUAUGAUCUAGAACAUCUAGUCAUCUUUUGUUUUGGAUGCAUCCUUAUCUGAUUUGGUGUAGAGUAGUCAUUAAAUGUGCCAGAAAAGAGUUUUCUUGGAGAAAAGGGAGGGGGGCGCGGAAGGAGUGUUUGGGUUGAAGAAUAGAAGUAUAAGCAGACUGUACCUUAUGAUGUUUUGUUCUUUCUACUGACAAACUCACAUCUGUUGCUGCAGCUUCAAUUUUCUUCACGGUUUCAUUUAUUGUAUUCUUGGAUCCAAACAUUGUUGUCUGCUUAUAUUUACUCUAAAUUGGAAAGAAAAACGUGAUUUAGGUAAAAAAAUGAACUAAAGAAACUUUUAUUAUAGUGACUCAUGUUUUGAAUUUUAAACUUGCCUUCUCUUCAAACAGACCCGAUAAAUCGAGAUCAUGUGACAUGGCAAUUAACUUGAAGGCAUUUAUGAAACUUGAGGAGUUGGGAUUGUUUGCCUCUGAGGCAAUCUCCUGCUGAGGAUUUCAGGUAGUUAGGUCCAUUUAUGAAUCUCUCUAUCUUACUAAUGGAGCAAGCUUUUACCUCAAUCGAAUCAAAAGCAGCAUUAACAUCCUCCAAGUGAAUUAUUUCAUCGCCUUCAUAUCCACAAGCUGGCACAUAAUCUUUUUGAAACCAUUUGUCUUCGACAAUAUCUGGUAUGGUCAUUCGCUGUGUUGGUGAAAUAAAAGAAGAAAUAUACAUAAUUUUGUUCAAUAUAUUCAGAAAAUGGUUAUUAUAUUAGAAAGUUCGAAGGUUAUUUACACUUUCAGGAUUUGUAUCAAGUAUUCUGGAGAGUAGUUUCUUUUGGUCUUCAGUAAACCAUUCUGGACAUGUGUAUUCUGCUCUGCAUAUCUUUGUACAAACAUACACAUCAGGUAAGUGCAACUGUUUGUAUUGGACGCUGAAUUUAUACAUUUUCAUUUGAAGCUA